GCCGAAAUAGCUUCCAGUUGGGAGAGCGUUAGACUGAAGAUCUAAAAGGUCCCUGGUUCAAUCGAGUUUCGGCA
This 74-nucleotide transfer RNA is filed under the name Trichonephila inaurata madagascariensis. It matches the Rfam family "tRNA". Rfam says of the family: Transfer RNA (tRNA) molecules are approximately 80 nucleotides in length. The record is from Rfam by way of RNAcentral. Lineage: Eukaryota; Metazoa; Arthropoda; Arachnida; Araneae; Nephilidae.